UGAAAUGCGAAAAGUAAUGCGAUUUGCAUGAAUCUGUGAGUCAUCAAGUCUUUGAACGCACCUUGCACCGCAUGAGCAAUCGUACGGUAUACCUGUUUGAGAAUCGUAAAAACCCCUUUCCACACCCUAGUGGUGUGGGAGACUUGUCGGCUGUGCUGGCCCCUUUGGGGGGCAGUACUCUGAUUAAAUGUAGUAGGUCUGGAUCGGGCUGGUGGCCUGGGACAUUGUGUGCUAGAGACGUUUGCUUCGGCUUGCUGUCUUGUCACAGUGCGUCCCUGGGCUACUCAAAGCCGGCUCGGUCAGUAGGACUUGACAGUGUGCCCAGUUCAUUUUUAUGGAUGGAUUGGGCCACAACCCCACAUUUUUGAUCUCAAAUCAGGUAAGGCUACCCGCUGAACUU
This 400-nucleotide unclassified non-coding RNA is filed under the name uncultured fungus. RNAcentral describes it as "sequence contains ITS1". The stretch from base 1 to 106 matches the Rfam family "5.8S ribosomal RNA", at positions 49 to 154 of the family's 154-position model. The record is from RNAcentral. Lineage: Eukaryota; Fungi.